AAUCCGUGAUGAGGGCAUUUGGUUUGAUAACCCUUAAAGCGUUCCCAAGCUUCACAGAAGCUUUCAUUUUGCUUCUGAGUGAAUCCAGAUAUAUCAUUGUGGAGUCU
This 107-nucleotide small nucleolar RNA is filed under the name Arabidopsis thaliana (thale cress). Its description in RNAcentral is "Plant small nucleolar RNA R71". It matches the Rfam family "Plant small nucleolar RNA R71". Rfam says of the family: R71 is a member of the C/D box family of snoRNAs containing the C (UGAUGA) and D (CUGA) box motifs. Multiple nearly identical copies of this snoRNA have been identified in Arabidopsis, and it is thought to function as a 2'-O-ribose methylation guide for 18S ribosomal RNA. The record is from RNAcentral. RNAcentral also lists the same sequence under 2 other names. Lineage: Eukaryota; Viridiplantae; Streptophyta; Magnoliopsida; Brassicales; Brassicaceae.